ACUGUUGUACAGAAAAUCUAUACGGAUGAAUCGGCAGUUCUUAAAUUACAGCAACAGUAAUUAUCAUAGAAUUUCGUAUCAAAUUCUAUAUCUAUUCGUUUUAUAUAUGUAGGUAGAGAUCAGAUGAUACAGGGGCACCUUCUCUUGAAUACAGGACUCAAAUUCACGGCUGCGAAAAACGACUCGACCUCUUCUCUAGCCACGAUCUCGAAGAAGUCGAGCUCGCACAGCUUUCUCUUGCAAGAAACCACCGAUCGGCUUGGCUUCUUCGGAGCCGGAGGGCAGCUUAGGAUCGUCGGAAUUUUGUGUUCCGCCGAUGUCGGCGUGUGGCACUCGUCAUCGCCCACGUCGACGACGUUACCGGAAAUUGGUGUCUGACUUUCAGGGCUGAUGAUUCUGAUUGUGGGUAGUCGGAGUUGGGGCAAUUCUUGUCGGAAUUCUAGAUCUGUGGACAUUGUUACCGAGGUUUUUCUAGACAGAGAGAAUAUGGACCAGACAUGGAGAGGAUGAAUUGGAAUGAUUUGUGUGUGUACAUAUAGAGAGAGA
Rhododendron vialii is the source of this 546-nucleotide long non-coding RNA. RefSeq lists it as uncharacterized. Lineage: Eukaryota; Viridiplantae; Streptophyta; Magnoliopsida; Ericales; Ericaceae. The transcript is spliced from 2 exons. The record is from RefSeq and is a predicted model, not a curated record.